UUUGACCUCAAAUCAGGUAGGACUACCCGCUGAACUUAAGCAUAUCAAUAAGCGGAGGAAAAGAAACUAACAAGGAUUCCCCUAGUAACUGCGAGUGAAGCGGGAAAAGCUCAAAUUUGAAAUCUGGCAGUCUCUUUUUUCUUCUUUGGCUGUCCGAGUUGUAAUCUAGAGAAGUGCUUACCCGCRCUGGACCAUGUAUAAGUCUCCUGGAAUGGAGCGUCAYAGAGGGUGAGAAUCCCGUCUUUGACAUGGACUGSCCGUGGGUUGUGG
Molecule: ribosomal RNA, 270 nt
Filed under: Amanita fulva
Lineage: Eukaryota; Fungi; Basidiomycota; Agaricomycetes; Agaricales; Amanitaceae
Description: partial 28S ribosomal RNA
Source: RNAcentral